GAGGACUUUACUCAGGGAGCUUAAAUAUAGU
This 31-nucleotide non-coding RNA is filed under the name Mus musculus (house mouse). The record is from RNAcentral. Lineage: Eukaryota; Metazoa; Chordata; Mammalia; Rodentia; Muridae.